RNAcentral lists this unclassified non-coding RNA (309 nucleotides) under soil metagenome. Its description in RNAcentral is "partial contains small subunit ribosomal RNA, internal transcribed spacer 1, and 5.8S ribosomal RNA". The record is from RNAcentral.
UUUCCGUAGGUGAACCUGCGGAAGGAUCAUUAAUGAACUUUGAACUGCUUGUGGCUCUUUAGGCUGUUGCUGACGAGGACCUUCACGGGUUCUUCGUACGUGCACGUCUGGGGUUGCAGCUUUCUUCGUCCACCUGUGCACACUCUGUAGGUCUGGAUACCCCAUUGGAAGGGUGCGCUUCUUGCGCUCCCUUUGCCUUCCAGGCCUAUGUCUUAUAAACACUAUAGUAUGUAACGAAUGUCAUUGAUUAUUGGACUUCACUGUCCUUUAAACUAAAUACAACUUUCAACAACGGAUCUCUUGGCUCUC